Molecule: ribosomal RNA, 480 nt
Filed under: Acidobacteria bacterium UCL-046
Lineage: Bacteria; Pseudomonadati; Acidobacteriota
Description: bacterial SSU rRNA
Rfam family: Bacterial small subunit ribosomal RNA
Source: RNAcentral
AACGCUGGCGGCGUGCCUAACACAUGCAAGUCGAACGCGAAAGGGGCUUCGGCCCUGAGUAGAGUGGCGAACGGGUGAGUAACACGUGGGUGAUCUACCUUCGAGUGGGGGAUAACGUUCCGAAAGGAACGCUAAUACCGCAUGACGUCCUGCGUUUAAAGACCUGGACACCAAAGCCGGGGACCGCAAGGCCUGGCGCUUGAAGAGGAGCCCGCGUCCGAUUAGCUAGUUGGUGGGGUAACGGCUCACCAAGGCGACGAUCGGUAUCCGGCCUGAGAGGGCGGACGGCCACACUGGGACUGAGACACGGCCCAGACUCCUACGGGAGGCAGCAGUGGGGAAUUGUUCACAAUGGGCGCAAGCCUGAUGACGCAACGCCGCGUGGGGGAUGAAGGUCUUCGGGUUGUAAACCCCUGUCGAAUGGGACGAAAGACCCUCGGGCUAAUCUCCGCGGGAGUGACGGUACCGUUAAAGGAAGCC